RNAcentral lists this unclassified non-coding RNA (225 nucleotides) under uncultured fungus. Its description in RNAcentral is "sequence contains ITS1". The record is from RNAcentral. Lineage: Eukaryota; Fungi.
GUAAUUAUUAAGUUUUUUCAGACGCUGAUUGAAAAUUAAAAAGGUUAUAGUUUUGUCCAAUCGGCGGGCAAGCCCGCCGAGGAAACAUGAGUGCGCAAAAGACAAGGGUACAGACAGAGGGCCGGCCGCUCAUCAGUAAAUGAAUACUAUGCGGAGUUACAGCACCUCCCGACCAGUAGCAAGCUACUGAAUGUAAUGAUCCUUCCGCAGGUUCACCUACGGAAA